AGGCCACGUCUUUCACUGCGAUGG
RNAcentral lists this non-coding RNA (24 nucleotides) under Arabidopsis thaliana (thale cress). The record is from RNAcentral. Lineage: Eukaryota; Viridiplantae; Streptophyta; Magnoliopsida; Brassicales; Brassicaceae.